UACAGAGGUCUCAAGCGUUGUUCGGAUUCAUUGGGCGUAAAGCGCGCGUAGGCGGCCAGAUAAGUCCGGUGUGAAAGCCACAGGCUCAACCUGUGAAUGCCGCUGGAAAUUGUCUGGCUAGAGUCCGGGAGGGGCGAGUGGAAUUCCUGGUGUAGCGGUGAAAUGCGCAGAUAUCAGGAGGAACACCAAUGGCGAAGGCAGCUCGCUGGAACGGAACUGACGCUGAGGCGCGAAAGCGUGGGGAGCGAACAGG
Molecule: ribosomal RNA, 253 nt
Filed under: uncultured bacterium
Lineage: Bacteria
Description: partial 16S ribosomal RNA
Rfam family: Bacterial small subunit ribosomal RNA
Source: RNAcentral